AUUGAACGCUGGCGGCAUGCCUUACACAUGCAAGUCGAACGGCAGCACGGGGCAACCUGGUGGCGAGUGGCGAACGGGUGAGUAAUGCAUCGGAACGUGCCAUUGAGUGGGGGAUAACGUAGCGAAAGUUGCGCUAAUACCGCAUAUUCUGUGAGCAGGAAAGCAGGGGGACCGCAAGGCCUUGCGCUCUUUGAGCGGCCGAUGUCAGAUUAGCUAGUUGGUGAGGUAACGGCUUACCAAGGCGACGAUCUGUAGCGGGUCUGAGAGGAUGAUCCGCCACACUGGAACUGAGACACGGUCCAGACUCCUACGGGAGGCAGCAGUGGGGAAUUUUGGGACAAUGGGCGCAAGCCUGAUCCAGCCAUGCCGCGUGAGUGAAGAAGGCCUU
This 388-nucleotide ribosomal RNA is filed under the name uncultured bacterium. RNAcentral's name for it is "bacterial SSU rRNA". It matches the Rfam family "Bacterial small subunit ribosomal RNA", at positions 30 to 418 of the family's 1533-position model. The record is from RNAcentral.